GAUGACCUCGGAUCAGGUAGGGAUACCCGCUGAACUUAAGCAUAUCAAU
This 49-nucleotide ribosomal RNA is filed under the name Podosphaera xanthii. Its description in RNAcentral is "partial 28S ribosomal RNA". Lineage: Eukaryota; Fungi; Ascomycota; Leotiomycetes; Helotiales; Erysiphaceae. The record is from RNAcentral.